UUCCUUCAUCCCGUUUGAAUGCCAAUGU
Molecule: small RNA, 28 nt
Filed under: Bombyx mori (domestic silkworm)
Lineage: Eukaryota; Metazoa; Arthropoda; Insecta; Lepidoptera; Bombycidae
Description: ovarian small RNA-37351
Source: RNAcentral